Molecule: unclassified non-coding RNA, 349 nt
Filed under: soil metagenome
Description: partial contains 5.8S ribosomal RNA, internal transcribed spacer 2, and large subunit ribosomal RNA
Rfam family: 5.8S ribosomal RNA (bases 1-120)
Source: RNAcentral
GAUGAAGAACGUAGCGAAAUGCGAUAAGUAAUGUGAAUUGCAGAAUUCAGUGAAUCAUCGAAUCUUUGAACGCACCUUGCGCCCGCCAGCACUCUGGCGGGCAUGCCUGUCCGAGCGUCAUUUCAACCCUCAGGGCCCCUUCGGGGGACCUGGCGUUGGGGAUCGGCCCGCCCCCGUGCGGCGCCGUCCCCGAAAUAUAGUGGCGGUCUCGCUGCAGCCUCCCCUGCGUAGUAGCACACCUCGCACUGGAGAGCGGCGCGGCCACGCCGUGAAACCCCCAACUUCUGAAUGUUGACCUCGGAUCAGGUAGGAAUACCCGCUGAACUUAAGCAUAUCAAUAAGCGGAGGA